Molecule: long non-coding RNA, 2341 nt
Organism: Loxodonta africana (African savanna elephant)
Lineage: Eukaryota; Metazoa; Chordata; Mammalia; Proboscidea; Elephantidae
Exons: 3
Source: RefSeq, a predicted model, not a curated record
UCUUCCCUGUAUGCAACCAUAUUUUCAGCGGGAAAACCCAAACCCAGUAAGUCCACUUCAGGGCUGGGUGUUGUCCACUGGUUUUGCCCAAGGCUUCCUUCCCUGUUCUGUAGUAGCUGCUUACAUCUGAGCUGGCAUUCAAGGGAAACAGAGGCGGACUUUCCUCAAUUUCAGGAGGAGGAGGGGCUGGAACUCCCAGAAGGACCUCUGAGAGAUCUGUAUUGUUCGUUUCAGGGGCCCAGUGGUCCUGUGGAGGCUGGUGGAGCAGUCUCCUGGCCCCAAUGUAGGAAAUGUUCUGUAGGAGUUCCUAUCAGCUCAACAGCCAAUAGUUACUGGGUUGGAGGUGGGCUGUCAUGUUCUGAACAGACCCCCAUGGAGAUCUGCCUUGUUGCUAUCAGAGCCCCAUCCCACCCUGUAGCAUGUUGGCUGUGGGUGUAGCCUCAGCCUCAGUCUCAAGACAUCUGUCUCCUAGCACACAGCAGUCUCAGUCAACAGUCCCCAGUGCCAAUGGGAAGGAGCAGACAGAUCUGAACUGACCCCCAGGGAGUUCCUUGCUGCUGAUCUCUGCUCCCAGAUUCAGAGCCCCUCAAGGGUGAAGUUCGCUCUUGACGUUGGGCUCAGCCAAGUGACUUGCUGUGUGCAAUGGAACGUGUGGGCAGCAGUGUCAAUGAUCAGUUUUGUGCCUAGAGCUUAAGAAGACUUGUAUGCUUCUACUCAUUUCUUGUGGAGCUUCUACCUCCUGUAUGAGAAAAACAUGCCCAGAAGAAUGAGAGACCCAUGGAGCAGACAUAAACUGAGCCUGCAACCUGGGACCAAGCCCAGCCAAGCCCACCAAGAUCAGCUGAAUCCCAGGCAACUCACAGAUACAAGAAGAAGACAUAAAUACUGCUGAAUGCUUCUGAGAUUUUACAGUUGUUACUGAUGGUACAACCAGCUCUUUCUUUGUCGUAUUUGUGGAGGAGUGUUGGAAAGAUGGUCUGUUUACACCACAAGGAACAGUUGGUAUUUCGGGGUGAUAGAACUAUGUUCUUCUUUUUCUUUCAUUUUCUAUAUUUUCUACAAUGGGCAUACUUAUAUGGUAAGAAAAAAUAUUUAAACAUAGAUAUAUGUAAAACAAUCUUCCAGGAAAUUUCAGAAGAAAAUGGUGCCUGUAAUCCUACCAUGUCUGUUCUCAUUCUCAUACAGACAUACAAUAAUCUAGUGAUAAUCACAGGAUGCAUACUCAUAUAUCCUUGUAACUACAUGUCCUUCACAAUAAACAUCUACCCAAAAACCCAUCGUCAUUGAGCUGAUUCCAACUCAUAGCAACCCUGUAAGGACAGAGUAGAACUGCCCCCAUAGGGUUCCCAAGGCUGUAAGUCCUUGCAGAAGCAGGCUGCCACAUCUUUCUCCUGCAGAGUGGCUGGUGGGUUCUAACCACUGACCUUUUGGUUAGCAGCCAAGUGCUUUAGCCACCGCAUCACCAGGGCUCCAUACAGAGGUUGACAAAAUAUCCCACCAAGUGAAUAUACCAUGGUAUGCUUGUGUUUUCCUACUGUUGGAAAUGUAAAGUAUUCCUGAAUUUUCACACCUAGAGAUCGUGAGAAAAUGAAUAUAUUCAUGUGUGUGCUUUUUUUCCCCCUCCCUUUGAAUUAUUUCCCGAAGAUAAAGUCACAGGCUUGGGACUGUAUGAGAGGGAAUGAAUAUUUUCAUACUUUUUGGUAUGUGUUAAAAUUUUGCCUUCCAGAACAAAUCAGUCACUGCACCUCUCUGCUCUUUUUGUUUACAUGUGCCAGGCUGCAGCAGAUACUGCAGAUCACACAGUCCAUGCCUGUCAAGAAAUGAGCCUAGCCUCUCCUGUACCUAAAGCCAAAACAAAACCCGUUACUGUCAAGUCGAUUCCAACUCAUGGUGGUCCCCAUGUCUUACACAGUAAACUUGAGCUCCACAGAGUUUUCUUAGCUGUAAUCUUUUUUCCCCCUAGGCUGUAAUCUUUUUGUUUUUGUUUUUUUCUUUGUGUGCAUGCGUGUGUGUGUGCUUUAAGUGAAAGUUUACAAUUCAAGUCAGUUUCUCAUACAAAAAUACACACAUUGUUAUGUGACCCUAGUUGCUCUCCCUACAAUGUGACAACACACUCCUCCUCUCUACCCUGUAUUUCCCAUGUCCAUUCAACCAGCUCCUGACCCCUCUGUCUUCUCAUUUCGCCUCCAGACAGGAGCUGCCCAUUUAGUCUCAUGUAUCUACUUCAGCCAAGGAGCACACUCUACACCAGUAUCAUUUCAUGUCUUAUAGUCCAGUCUAAUCCUUGUCUGAAGAGUUGGCUUCAGGAAUGGUUUUAGUUUUGGGCUAACAGAGAGUCCAU